UGCAGCAGAGCUCCGACCUUCGGGGACGAGCGCUUUUAUUAGACCAAAACCAAUCGGACCUCGUGUCCGUCCUUUGUGGUGACUCUGUAUAACUUUGGGCUGAUCGCACGGGCCUGUCCCGGCGACGUAUCUUUCAAGUGUCUGCCUUAUCAACUUUCGAUGGUAGGUUACGCGCCUACCAUGGUCGUAACGGGUAACGGGGAAUCAGGGUUCGAUUCCGGAGAGGGAGCCUGAGAAACGGCUACCACAUCCAAGGAAGGCAGCAGGCGCGCAAAUUACCCACUCCCAGAACGGGGAGGUAGUGACGAAAAAUAACAAUACGGGACUCUUUUGAGACCCCGUAAUUGGAAUGAGUACACUCUAAAUCCUUUAACGAGGAUCCAUUGGAGGGUAAGUCUGGUGCCAGCAACCGCGGUAAUUCCAGCUCCAAUAGCGUAUAUUAAAGUUGUUGCGGUUAAAAAGCUCGUAGUUGGAUCUCAGUUCCAGACGGGUGGUCCGCCUACCGGUGGUUACUGCCUGUUCUGAACAGUCAGCCGGUUUCUCUUGAUGAUCUUCACCGGUUGUCUUGGGUGACCGGCAAGUUUACUUUGAAAAAAUUAGAGUGCUCAAAGCAGGCGUGACGCCUGAAUAAUGGUGCAUGGAAUAAUGGAAUAGGACCUCGGUUCUAUUUUGUUGGUUUUCGGAACACGAGGUAAUGAUUAAGAGGGACAGACGGGGGCAUUCGUAUUGCGACGCUAGAGGUGAAAUUCUUGGACCG
RNAcentral lists this ribosomal RNA (757 nucleotides) under Pireneitega luctuosa. RNAcentral's name for it is "SSU rRNA". It matches the Rfam family "Eukaryotic small subunit ribosomal RNA", at positions 172 to 927 of the family's 1831-position model. The record is from RNAcentral. Lineage: Eukaryota; Metazoa; Arthropoda; Arachnida; Araneae; Agelenidae.